RNAcentral lists this transfer RNA (73 nucleotides) under bacterium. RNAcentral's name for it is "tRNA-Ala". It matches the Rfam family "tRNA". From Rfam's summary of the family: Transfer RNA (tRNA) molecules are approximately 80 nucleotides in length. Their secondary structure includes four short double-helical elements and three loops (D, anti-codon, and T loops). Further hydrogen bonds mediate the characteristic L-shaped molecular structure. tRNAs have two regions of fundamental functional importance: the anti-codon, which is responsible for specific mRNA codon recognition, and the 3' end, to which the tRNAs corresponding amino acid is attached (by aminoacyl-tRNA synthetases). tRNAs cope with the degeneracy of the genetic code in two manners: having more than one tRNA (with a specific anti-codon) for a particular amino acid; and 'wobble' base-pairing, i.e. permitting non-standard base-pairing at the 3rd anti-codon position. The record is from RNAcentral. RNAcentral also lists the same sequence under 2 other names.
GGGCUGGUAGCUCAAUUGGUAGAGCGCCUCGGUCGCAUCGAGGAGGUUGUGAGUUCGAGUCUCAUCCAGUCCA